CGGCCGGAUUCGCACAUCCAGAAAGAGCGGAGUGCCGCCAUCUUUUUUAUGGGCAAAGGCUCCUUCGAGGUUUGUGUUCGCCAAGUAGGCUUCUCAGAAAGCCCACUAGAGACGUUUGAAAGAGAGUGGGUUCCUUGCACACUGAAACGCUGAGGCAAGGCGUUGGGGGGGGGUCGUCGAGGUGGCAAUCCGUGAAACCAAGGAUAAGGAGUGGACUGCCCUGAGUAAAGGAUUCUCAGAGGGACCAGAAACUAGGUCCACAAGCUAGUGGAAGAGUAGAAAUGCUGGAUCCACAGGUUCUUGAUGGCAGCAAGCCCAGGCAGGAAGAAGAGCGAAGAAUGACACAACAACUGGAGGCAGUGUCUCUGACUUAAAGUGACCACAAGACCUUUUUUAAUUACCUAACAGAGAGCAGAGAACCAUGGAUCUCUCUGUGUUCUCAUUCAGGAGCAAGAGCCAUAUGGCACCCCGGGAAAAUGCGAGGCAAAGGAAGUCCUGCUUGUUCAGUAUCUUCAUACUUGAUUAUUACUAUUUAUCCAGCACUCAACAUGUCCAAAGUGCUUUAUAUUUUCAAAAUGACUCAUGGGGGUGGGUACAGCUACAGCUUCCGUUUGUUUAGGAAGAAACUGAAGCUCAGCAAGGUUGGAUCAUCUGCCUCCAGCUGCAGGGUUUCUGCCUCGAGUUCCUGCCCUGACUUCC
This is a long non-coding RNA of Nannospalax galili (Upper Galilee mountains blind mole rat), 699 nucleotides long. RefSeq lists it as uncharacterized. Lineage: Eukaryota; Metazoa; Chordata; Mammalia; Rodentia; Spalacidae. The transcript has 3 exons. The record is from RefSeq and is a predicted model, not a curated record.